RNAcentral lists this ribosomal RNA (484 nucleotides) under uncultured bacterium. RNAcentral describes it as "partial 16S ribosomal RNA". It matches the Rfam family "Bacterial small subunit ribosomal RNA", at positions 36 to 507 of the family's 1533-position model. The record is from RNAcentral.
CUUUCCCUCUGGCGGCAGGCCUAACACAUGCAAGUCGAGCGGAUGAAGGGAGCUUGCUCCUGGAUUCAGCGGCGGACGGGUGAGUAAUGCCUAGGAAUCUGCCUGGUAGUGGGGGAUAACGUCCGGAAACGGGCGCUAAUACCGCAUACGUCCUGAGGGAGAAAGUGGGGGAUCUUCGGACCUCACGCUAUCAGAUGAGCCUAGGUCGGAUUAGCUAGUUGGUGGGGUAAAGGCCUACCAAGGCGACGAUCCGUAACUGGUCUGAGAGGAUGAUCAGUCACACUGGAACUUAGACACGGUCCAGACUCCUACGGGAGGCAGCAGUGGGGAAUAUUGGACAAUGGGCGAAAGCCUGAUCCAGCCAUGCCGCGUGUGUGAAGAAGGUCUUCGGAUUGUAAAGCACUUUAAGUUGGGAGGAAGGGCAGUAAGUUAAUACCUUGCUGUUUUGACGUUACCAACAGAAUAAGCACCGGCUAACUUCGUG